AACGAACGCUGGCGGCAUGCCUAACACAUGCAAGUCGAACGAGACCUUCGGGUCUAUUGGCGCACGGGUGCGUAACGCGUGGGAACCUGCCCUUAGGUUCGGAAUAACUCCCCGAAAGGGGUGCUAAUACCGGAUAAUGUCUUCGGACCAAAGAUUUAUCGCCUUUGGAUGGGCCCGCGUUGGAUUAGCUAGUUGGUAGGGUAAAAGCCUACCAAGGCCACGAUCCAUAGCUGGUCUGAGAGGAUGAUCAGCCACACUGGGACUGAGACACGGCCCAGACUCCUACGGGAGGCAGCAGUGGGGAAUAUUGGACAAUGGGCGAAAGCCUGAUCCAGCAAUGCCGCGUGAGUGAUGAAGGCCUUAGGGUUGUAAAGCUCUUUUACCCGGGAUGAUAAUGACAGUACCGGGAGAAUAAGCUCCGGCUAACUCCGUG
This 433-nucleotide ribosomal RNA is filed under the name uncultured bacterium. RNAcentral describes it as "partial 16S ribosomal RNA". It matches the Rfam family "Bacterial small subunit ribosomal RNA", at positions 29 to 507 of the family's 1533-position model. The record is from RNAcentral.